AGAUUGAACGCUGGCGGCAGGCCUAACACAUGCAAGUCGAGCGGUAGAGAGGUGCUUGCAUCUCUUGAGAGCGGCGGACGGGUGAGUAAUGCCUAGGAAUCUGCCUAGUGGUGGGGGAUAACGUUCGGAAACGGACGCUAAUACCGCAUACGUCCUACGGGAGAAAGCGGGGGACCUUCGGGCCUCGCGCCAUUAGAUGAGCCUAGGUCGGAUUAGCUAGUUGGUGAGGUAAUGGCUCACCAAGGCGAUGAUCCGUAACUGGUCUGAGAGGAUGAUCAGUCACACUGGAACUGAGACACGGUCCAGACUCCGUACGGGAGCAGCAGUGGGGAAUAUUGGACAAGUGGGACGAAAGCCUGAUCCAGCCAGUCGCCGCGUGUGUGAA
RNAcentral lists this ribosomal RNA (385 nucleotides) under uncultured soil bacterium. RNAcentral's name for it is "bacterial SSU rRNA". It matches the Rfam family "Bacterial small subunit ribosomal RNA", at positions 26 to 409 of the family's 1533-position model. The record is from RNAcentral.